This 456-nucleotide ribosomal RNA is filed under the name uncultured bacterium. Its description in RNAcentral is "bacterial SSU rRNA". It matches the Rfam family "Bacterial small subunit ribosomal RNA", at positions 340 to 786 of the family's 1533-position model. The record is from RNAcentral.
UACGGAAGGCAGCAGUGGGGAAUAUUGCACAAUGGGCGAAAGCCUGAUGCAGCUAUGCCGCGUGUAUGAAGAAGGCCUUAGGGUUGUAAAGUACUUUCAUCGGGGAGGAAAAACAAAACUAAUAAUUUUAUUUCUUGACGUUACCCGAAAAAGAAGCACCGGCUAACUCCGUGCCAGCAGCCGCGGUAAUACGGAGGGUGCUAGCGUUAAUCAGAAUUACUGGGCGUAAAGAGCACGUAGGUGGUUUUUUUAAAGUCAGAUGUGAAAUCCCUGGGCUUAACCUAGGAACUGCAUUUUGAAACUGAAAUACUAGAGUAUCGUAGAGGGAGGUAGAAUUCUAGGUGUAGCGGUGAAAUGCGUAGAUAUCUGGAGGAAUACCUGUGGCGAAAGCGGCCUCCUAAACGAAUACUGACACUGAGGUGCGAAAGCGUGGGGAGCAAACAGGGAUUAGAUACC